AGCCUCAUACUACUGAAAAUGGACACUGUUGUUCAUGGUGUCCAUAAAUUGUUAAUGUGGCUACAUUGAGAACACAGGUUUUGCUUCCAUCACUGUAAUUUUAUUGCAGUGGUGACAAUGAGAACUGCAACAUUU
This is a small nucleolar RNA of Balaenoptera musculus (blue whale), 135 nucleotides long. The record is from Ensembl. NCBI's taxonomy places the organism in Eukaryota, Metazoa, Chordata, Mammalia, Artiodactyla, Balaenopteridae.